UUCGGACACUUGCGUCUCUCUCUCUCUUCUUCCCUCCUUGUAGUAGCAACAGGUUUUCUCUCUCUACUGUCUCUCUCUGACCUGCUGUCUGCCCACGCUUUCCCCUUUAAAUUUACCAUUUUCCGUUUUCUGUUUCUCUCUCUUCUUUUCUCAAUCCAGUCCAACGAGUUUCGCACGUCUCUCUCUCUCUCUCAUCGAUCCAAGGAGCUUUUCCUCACCAACGUAUCGUAGAAUUGGGGAAAGGAAAUUUUUGUAAAAUUGGGGAAAGGAAAUUUUCCUAAAAUUGGGGAAAGGAAAUUUCUGAUUUGAUAUUUUCUAGGUCGUCUCAGAUUAGAGAAGUUCACUUCCCUCUUCGCGAGCUUCAUUCAAUUGUGACUGGUUUAUUGUAGUUCAUGAGAAUCAAUCGUUUCUUGAUAUGCACGACUGCAAAGGUGUGAUAUCUCCUUCAAAGCUUUAGGUUUGGACAGCUUAUGCUACUAGUUUUGGUAUGCUGUUGCACUUUUCACUUAUCAUCUAUCCCAUCUUGCUAAUGGUAAUGCAGUUUUAUUCGUCAUCCUAAUUGAUUCAUAUAGGUAUCUGGGUGGUCAUCCAAUUCAUUCGACUCAUUCCCUUCGUCACGUCAUUUGAUUUGUCCAUAUCCUUCAAUUGAACCAGAUUUCUAUUUUUGAAUAUUCAAACAAAUUCCUUUCUAUUUAUUCCAAUUUCCAAAACAUAUCAAGUAAUUUAUUCAGGUUACAAUGGGGUUUGUGGUCUUGGUUUCUGACACUGCACUUUUCUACCAUCAAUUUGGCGCUUCAUGGCUGAAGUGUCUCAUUGUUUACAAUGCAUGAUGAGAGGCCAUUUGUACAGAAUAAUAAUUUUUUGAAAUAUAUGCUAUUGUGUAUCAAUGAUCAGGGUAAUUAAAAAGCCGGGGGGGGCGAAGUAUUUUGGGGGAUGCCCUGCUUGGGACAAACCGAUGCACAUUAAGGUGGGUAGUGGGGAACUGGCAGCAUAUAGUAAUUGUUAAAAAGAAAUGCAUGAAAUAUUAUGAAUAAAUUAAAUGGAGUUUAACAUAUAUAUGCUAUUAAAAUAAUGGAAAAUGUGGCUGCACCACUUUUUAACAAAAAAGAAAAUGUUGCUGCACCAAAACAACCUUGUAGCCUAACCUUAUUCACCAUUUUUUUGAAUGAAAAUAUUUCUUCUUCCUCCAAAUAGCAAUCUCCUGCAAAUUAAAAAGGAAACACAGAUAAAGAAAAUUUAGAUUUGGAGCUCUAAACACCCUCCAUCUUCCCCCAAACUCAUAUCUGAUAUAUCCAUUUCAAUGGAGGUUAGAUUUAGGGGAUUUGAAGUUUCUAGGAAGAUUUUAAUGUACUUUGGAGUUUUUGGUUGUCGUCACGCAUCCAGAUAGAUGUUAUAAGAUGUGUGGCAAUGUGGCUUAUGUGUUUAUAUGGUUGCUCGGCUUCACCAUAUACUCACCUAAUAAUAACGUAUAAAUUUCAUUUACUAUGUGUCAUUUAAAUGAUUCAGCUACUUAAUUUUUUGAUAUUCCACUCAGCUCAGUGGGCAACUGAACCGGGAAACCCAGUUGAUCCCUGAGACUGAAGUUUUAGGUGGCUGAAUCAAAAAUAGUGGGUGGACCAGUAAAAUUGCAAGUGACCUAGCCGGACCCCUAAAUUAAGACUAUUUUAUAAUAAUUGGCAAACUCAUUGUAUAAUCUUUUUUUUUUUCUUUGAUAAUUAUAUGAUCUUCAUUUUUUUCUUAGGGGGCUUAUUAUGUAGUCUUGUUUUAUUGAUCCUCUGAUUUCGAAGUAUCAUUAAAUUAGUAGAAGAAUCUGUUUGACCAUUACUUACACUACUCGUUUGUUUUAGUUGGAAGUGAGUAUGAAGCAGCACCUGAAGGUACAGCAAGAUAGAGGUUAUACUUAGAGAGUGACAAGGCUGUCUGACAAGAAUUUAGAGGAGCAGAUGUUAGAGUUCCAUUUGAAAAGCUGCUUGUUGUAACACGUGCCAUGCUGCUUCUCAUCUUUCUUCAAUCUCUCGGCUGCCUAUUUACUGUAGUUAGUAUGAUAAACUAUGUUCUUCAUUUCCCUGAUCCCCUUUCUUUUACCAACCUUUCUGUCACACUUCACCUACUUAGUGCCCUUUCUUGAAUCCAAUAAGCGAAAGAGAUACUUAACCUCCUCUGUCCUUUUGAAAGAAAAUUCAAGCUUCCUCCCCACCUCUCAAAAUCUUCUCUUCUAACUUGUAAGUAUAUGAGACUCAUUUCAGGCAUGUUUUUUACUUGUCUAACAUGGACAUGGCUCAGAGAUAACAUUUUGACAAGACACACCACUGCAACAGCUCAUGUGUGUCUGUAAUGUGUCUUAAAGAUUUUCCUGUCAGACAUACGACUCUUGCGUGUCAAAUAUACCUGUGUAUCAUUGUACUGGA
Long non-coding RNA from Amborella trichopoda, 2408 nucleotides. RefSeq lists it as uncharacterized. Lineage: Eukaryota; Viridiplantae; Streptophyta; Magnoliopsida; Amborellales; Amborellaceae. The record is from RefSeq and is a predicted model, not a curated record.